UAAAAAAUUUCACAUAUUGUGGGUAUUCCCAUUUUUGUGUGGGUAUUCCCAUUUUUGUUUUUCCCCUUUCAAUUAUUCAUCCAAAGAAACCUAAAUCUUUGAGUUGCCAUUUGGCGAACCACACACUUGUGUGUUUCAACAGUCUACGAGAAUUUCAUUCUAUUAUGUACAACUGUAGGUGUAUAGCAUUCUGGUAAUCCAAGGAAUAAAUUGUAUAACCCUUGAGGUGGCAGUCAUUGAUGAUUUACCGAGUUACCCUAAAUGCUAUACUAUUAGUUGUCUGGUCUUGUUUAAGAUUACACAGUCCAAUCUAGUUCUUGAAGUAUUUUCUAUUGGAUUGUUCACUGGUGCUAAGGAUCGAAGCUGCAUUCUGCUGUCGAGUUACAGGCCCAUAUCUUACUAUGUCUCUUUAUCAAGCAGUUACGAAUUGUUGUUCAUGUGCAAGCAUAGAUGCGACAGCAUGAUGCAUUUAUAUGGUUUAUUCUUGCAGAUUGCCUUCGAUCCAACUAAGAAGAAGAAGAAGAAGAAGGUUGUACUUCAGGAUCGGACUGAUGAGAUUGUUGACAAGUUAGCAGAGAAAACUGAAAGUCUGUCAGUUUCUGAUGGUUUGGAGACUACCACAUUUUCUGGACUUAAAAAGAAGAAGAAAAAACAACCCUUUUCGACUGAAAAGUGAUUAUUAUGCCAAUAAGACCAAGUGGGGGAAAUGAAGACCAUAAGGGAGUUAUUCUACAGUUUCGUUAUCCUUGGGAGGGAAGUGAUUGUGUCACACCUUGCCCAGCACACGUCUUUGCUUGGUAUGCGAGACACGAUAAAUAUGUGAUUUGCAUUGGGUGCAAGAGUCCGGACACUAUUUUUUCAAAGGAGAACCGGCUUUUCUUUCUCAGAUGCGAGAAGAUGAAUAUGUGAUUUGCAUUGGGUGCAAGAGUCUGGACACUCUUCUUUCAAAGGAGAACCGGCUUUUCUUUCUCAGGUGCGAGAUGGUUUUUCAAGUAUUUCAAGUUCACAAGUGACAUGACUAUUGUGAUGUAUGAUUAAAUUUACGUUCACUCAUCCGCACAAGUUUUGGAUUGGAUUAAGGAUUGGAUUAAGAUGCUAUCAGAGGUUACUUCAAGAUGUCGUUGAUUAAGAAAGUAGGGUGGUUCUGGACGAUCAGUUGCUCCAAUUAAAGCUGGGUUUGUUGCUCGUGUUGGCCGGAGGAACAAUGGAACGUGACUUGUACAUUGUUCCUUUAUAUUGAAGCCCGAUGAUUGACGUGGGAUCCUGGUUUCGUGGGAUGUAAAGUCAACCAGAAGGGCAAUAUGGCCAUUUGAACUUAAUAGGAAGAAUGGUUGGAAAAAUGGGGAAAAGCAGAGCAGGCACUGUCUGUUGAUUGUUCUCAAUCAGGCAUCCACCAUUUCCACUCGGUUUUGUGCCUCUUCAAUAUCUCCAAUAGCAGAAUAAACGAUACAGCCAUUGAAUUACAUUUCACGUUGCUGAAGCUGCCGGAGGAAUCAGGGACGAGGGAGGCCCUCUCUCUCUCUCUCUGAGUCAACGUCCAACUUCAGGCUUUCUUUCUACCGCUGAAUGGCUAACUCAUUGGCUCGGAGCGAUAGGAAAUUCAAGAGGUUGGAAUCUCGGAAGUCUCAUUCAUGGUGGUGGGACAGUCACGUCAGCCCCAAAAAUUCUAGAUGGCUCACAGAGAAUCUCGAGGAGAUGGACCGCAGCAUCAAGCGUAUGUUGAAGCUAAUUGAAGAGGAUGCAGAUUCAUUUGCAAAGAAGGCUGAAAUGUAUUAUCAGAAGAGGCCAGUGUUGAUCUCUCAUGUUGAGGAAUUCUACCGCAUGUAUCGUUCCCUUGCUGAGCGUUAUGAUCACGUGACAGGUGAGCUUCGAAAAAAUAUUCCUUCAGAUCUACAAUCUCAGGGCUCUGGCAUUUCUGACCUGGGCUCUGAGCCGCCCUCUACAUGGCCCUCUCCUGAUCAAAGGCUUGGGCGUCGAAAAUCUGGACCACGAGCUGCUGGCUUUGAUUUCUUCCUUGGAUCUGGUGGAAGCAACUCCGAUACUUGCCAAAAGGAAGGAGAUGAGUCAUCUUCCUUGACUGAAUCUGAACCUGAAUCUGACGAUUCAUCGGUAAACAAUUAUUCAGGUGGUGAUCAAGGUCUGAACAGGAAGAUGAUUGAAUUGGAGAUUGAGCUUCGUGAGGCUAAAGAAAAGCUCCGCAUGAAAGCAGAUAAUGCAGAAGGUUCCUUUCCAUUCAAGGGGGCAGCAGAUGAAAAUUCUGAUUAUGUUUUUGCUAGAAUUGCUGGGUAUGAGGAAGAAUUAAGGAAUGCAAAUGAGAAGCUGCGAAUUUCAGAUGUGCAGAUCAUGAGGUUGAAAAGUGAGCUCCAAAAGUACAGGGAAUCAGUAAUGACCAAAGGUUUGCAGGUUGAGUCUUUGUCUGAUACAAUGGAAGAAACCCAGAGGCAUGAAGAUGGGGUUCCUUUGGUCAUUAAUCAGGAAUCAGAGGUUGACGAACAUCAUAGAGGUUCAGGAGCUGACCAUGCCAUUACCGUUGAGGGACUGGUGGAAGAGCAGAAAAUUACCAAGGAAAGACUUGAGAUUUCACAGAAAGAACUUUCUAAAUUAAAGCUUGAGCUUGAGAACAAUAGAUCACCUGAGAAAAUCUGCCAUUUGCAGAAUGAGCUUGAAGCUGCCCGAAAAGAUACCACUACAUGGAAGGCCAAGCUGAGUGCGGAGAGAAGAGAGGUCUCCAAGCUCCAAGAAAGAAUUUCAAGGUUGAAAGCUAGUUUAUCGGAUCGAGAUCAUGAGAUAAGGGAUUUAAAACUAGCAGUAUCUGAUGCUGAGCAGAAAAUCUUUCCCGAGAAAGCACAAGUUAAGGCUGAAAUGUCUAAGCUACUUGAGGAGCAAACUGUGUUGAUGGAACAAGUCAGAGAAUCGGAACAUCGGGCUCGUCUUUUGGAGGAUGAAAUCAGAAAAAUAAAGGGGGAAAAGGUGGAUUUGGAAGAGAGACUUAAUGGUGAAAUCGAGCGGUUGGAGACGACAAUUGUUGAGAAAGUAGAAUGCAUGGAGUAUUUUAAAAAUGGGCUGAAUGAUUUGGAAUCUGAAAGGGAUCAGCUACAGGAUGAAAUUGUUGCUUUGAAAGAGAAACUGAGGUCUAAAGAUAAGCAGGUAGAUGAUAUAAGGAAGCAUGUGGAAAAAUUGGAAAGGGAACGUGUGGAACUAGUGUCAGGUAUUGAUAAAGCAGACAAGGUGGCGGAGAAGUUAAGAUUAAGAGAGAAGGAGCUGGAGGGGGAGGUGGAGAAGCAAAGAAUACUGAUAAUGGAAGGAGCCGAGGAAAAGAGAGAGGCUAUAAGGCAGCUAUGUUUUUCGAUUGAGCACUACAGGAGUGGAUAUCAUAUGCUUAGAGAAGUUUUUAUUGGUCAAAAGCGGGUUCCAGUGUUGGCUUCUUAAGUACAUGUUUAGAAUAACAUCGAAUCUCAAAACAGUUGUUGGCUUGUUUCUGGGAUGAAACUAACGGUUUUCUGUUUGUUAAAUUAAAUUAUGUAAAUGUAGUUCGUUUAGAGAAACAAUGGGCGGGAGUUUGAUGUGAAUCGUCCCAGCAGCGUCCUGUUGCCAAGUUUUGGCUCUUUUAACGUCUGUUGAAGUAUGAAACACUUUUAGGACCUUUCGUACCUUGGAUCAAACUUGAAAUCUAGAAGACCAAUGCGAACCACGCAAAUGAGCUCCAAUUCUAAGGCUUGUAUUUUGUUGUGUAUGAGACGCCAGGAUUGAAUCAUUUUGACAAACGUUAACUUGUUGGUAAAUAACCUUUGUCCAAUGCCUACAUGUAGCUCUUUAUUCUUUAUUUUAAGUACAGAAACGUCUUUCGAGGCAGCAACUAAGGGGCUUUUUAGGACAA
Molecule: long non-coding RNA, 3877 nt
Organism: Cucumis sativus (cucumber)
Lineage: Eukaryota; Viridiplantae; Streptophyta; Magnoliopsida; Cucurbitales; Cucurbitaceae
Product: protein NETWORKED 4A
Exons: 11
Source: RefSeq, a predicted model, not a curated record